Molecule: ribosomal RNA, 1176 nt
Filed under: Triticum aestivum (bread wheat)
Lineage: Eukaryota; Viridiplantae; Streptophyta; Magnoliopsida; Poales; Poaceae
Description: partial small subunit ribosomal RNA
Source: RNAcentral
AUGAAGCAAUUUGUUGUUGACUAUAUUAAACAAUGCCCAACCUGUCAAAUAAACAAAGCUGAACACUGCAAGUACCCUGGGCUGCUCCAACCUCUGCCAGUCCCAGACUUUGCCUGGUGCCACAUAAGCAUGGAUUUUAUGGAAGGUCUUCCUACUUCUCACAACAAGAACAUGAUUUUGGUUGUGGUGGACAGGUUCACUAAAUACAACCACUUUAUCCCAAUGAAACACCCCAUUACAGCUAAUACUGUAGCUAAGGCUUUCACUGAUAACAUCUUCAAACUCCAUGGGUUACCAGCUGUGAUUGUCACUGACAGAGACAAAAUCUUCACUAGCAAGCUCUGGCAGGACUUGUUCAAGAAGUUGGGAAUAAAAUUACACAUGAGCACUUCGUACCACCCUCAGUCUGAUGGUCAGACAGAGAGAGUUAACCAAUGCUUGGAAAAUUAUCUCAGAUGCAUGGCUUUCAUCCAACCACAAAAGUGGCUCAACUGGUUAUCCCUAGCAGAGUGGUGGUACAACACUAGCUAUCACACAGCUCUCAAGAUCACCCCAUUCCAAGCCUUGCAUGGCAGACCUCCUCAUAUGUUAGCUGAAUCUGCUCUUUAUCCUGUGGAAGAACUGGAACAGUUCCCUGAUGUACUCACUGCUGAACAAACCGCAGCACAUAUUAAAGAACACCUCUUGAGGGCUCAAGCCAGAAUGAAACAUUACGCUGUCAAGAAGAGAUCUGAGAGAACAUUGGAAGUUGGUGACAUGGUAUACCUAAAACUACAACCUUACAGGCAUACCACUCUCAGUAUCCAUAGAUGUCCCAAGUUGCAUUCCAAAUUUUAUGGCCCAUUCAGAGUUAUCCUGAAAGUUGGUACAAUGGCUUACAAGCUCCUUCUUCCUGACGAUUGCAAACUGCAUGAUACUUUUCAUGUGAGCCAGCUCAAGAAGCAUAUUGGCCCAAUGGCGAUUCCAAACCCCAAGCUCCCCUUGCUCAACCCGGAUGGAACAAUCUUACUAGAACCAGAACAACUGCUCGAACGCAAACUGGUACCGCGUGUGCAAGGCAACAUCAGUAUCCCCGUGGUUCGAUGGCUCAUCAAAUGGAGUAAUCUACCUCUGGAGGAGGCCACUUGGGAGGACGCCACAUUCAUACAAAAAGUGUUUCCUAAUUUCCAGCCCUGA